Molecule: ribosomal RNA, 253 nt
Filed under: uncultured bacterium
Lineage: Bacteria
Description: partial 16S ribosomal RNA
Rfam family: Bacterial small subunit ribosomal RNA
Source: RNAcentral
UACGUAGGGACCAAGCGUUGUUCGGAUUUACUGGGCGUAAAGGGCGCGUAGGCGGCUUAACAAGUCACUUGUGAAAUCUCCGGGCUUAACUCGGAACGGCCAAGUGAAACUGUCAAGCUAGAGUGCAGAAGGGGCAAUCGGAAUUCUUGGUGUAGCGGUGAAAUGCGUAGAUAUCAGGAGGAACACCGAUGGCGAAGGCAGCUCGCUGGGACGGUACUGACGCUGAGGCGCGAAAGCGUGGGGAGCGAACAGG